RNAcentral lists this transfer RNA (76 nucleotides) under Chloroflexota bacterium. Its description in RNAcentral is "Chloroflexi bacterium tRNA-Lys". It matches the Rfam family "tRNA". From Rfam's summary of the family: Transfer RNA (tRNA) molecules are approximately 80 nucleotides in length. Their secondary structure includes four short double-helical elements and three loops (D, anti-codon, and T loops). Further hydrogen bonds mediate the characteristic L-shaped molecular structure. tRNAs have two regions of fundamental functional importance: the anti-codon, which is responsible for specific mRNA codon recognition, and the 3' end, to which the tRNAs corresponding amino acid is attached (by aminoacyl-tRNA synthetases). tRNAs cope with the degeneracy of the genetic code in two manners: having more than one tRNA (with a specific anti-codon) for a particular amino acid; and 'wobble' base-pairing, i.e. permitting non-standard base-pairing at the 3rd anti-codon position. Lineage: Bacteria; Bacillati; Chloroflexota. The record is from RNAcentral. RNAcentral also lists the same sequence under 1 other name.
GCCCUCGUAACUCAAGCAGGCAGAGUCCGGUCUCUUAAACCGAGAGAUGGGGGUGCGAGUCCUCCCGGGGGCACCA